GACGAACGCUGGCGGCGUGCUUAACACAUGCAAGUCGGACGGAAAGGCCCUGCUUUUGUGGGGUGCUCGAGUGGCGAACGGGUGAGUAACACGUGAGUAACCUGCCCUUGACUUUGGGAUAACUUCAGGAAACUGGGGCUAAUACCGGAUAGGAGCUCCUGCUGCAUGGUGGGGGUUGGAAAGUUUCGGCGGUUGGGGAAGGACUCGCGGCUUAUCAGCUUGUUGGUGGGGUAGUGGCUUACCAAGGCUUUGACGGGUAGCCGGCCUGAGAGGGUGACCGGCCACAUUGGGACUGAGAUACGGCCCAGACUCCUACGGGAGGCAGCAGUGGGGAAUAUUGCACAAUGGGCGGAAGCCUGAUGCAGCAACGCCGCGUGCGGGAUGACGGCCUUCGGGUUGUAAACCGCUUUCGCCUGUGACGAAGCGUGAGUGACGGUAAUGGGUAAAGAAGCACCGGCUAACUACGUG
This 468-nucleotide ribosomal RNA is filed under the name uncultured bacterium. Its description in RNAcentral is "partial 16S ribosomal RNA". It matches the Rfam family "Bacterial small subunit ribosomal RNA", at positions 28 to 507 of the family's 1533-position model. The record is from RNAcentral.